RNAcentral lists this ribosomal RNA (305 nucleotides) under uncultured bacterium. RNAcentral's name for it is "partial 16S ribosomal RNA". It matches the Rfam family "Bacterial small subunit ribosomal RNA", at positions 508 to 807 of the family's 1533-position model. The record is from RNAcentral.
ACAGCAGUAGCCGCGGGAAUACGAAGGGUGCAAGCGUUACUCGGAAUUACUUGGCGUAAAGCGUGCGUAGGUGGUGGUUUAAGUCCGUUGUGAAAGCCCUGGGCUCAACCUGGGAAUUGCAGUGGAUACUGGGUCACUAGAGUGUGGUAGAGGAUAGUGGAAUUUCCGGUGUAGCAGUGAAAUGCGUAGAGAUCGGAAGGAACAUCUGUGGCGAAGGCGACUAUCUUGGCCAACACUGACACUGAGGCACGAAAGCGUGGGGAGCAAACAGGAUUAGAUACCCCUGUAGUCCCUGUCUCUUAUAC